UCGUGUCGUGAGAUGUUGGGUUAAGUCCCGCAACGAGCGCAACCCUCGCCUUUAGUUGCCAUCACGUUUGGGUGGGCACUCUAAAGGAACUGCCGGUGACAAGCCGGAGGAAGGUGGGGAUGACGUCAAGUCCUCAUGGCCCUUAUGUCCUGGGCUACACACGUGCUACAAUGGCGGUGACAGUGGGAAGCCAGGUAGCGAUACCGAGCCGAUCUCUAAAAGCCGUCUCAGUUCGGAUUGCACUCUGCAACUCGAGUGCAUGAAGGUGGAAUCGCUAGUAAUCGCGGAUCAGCAUGCCGCGGUGAAUACGUUUCCCGGGAAA
Molecule: ribosomal RNA, 322 nt
Filed under: uncultured Komagataeibacter sp.
Lineage: Bacteria; Pseudomonadati; Pseudomonadota; Alphaproteobacteria; Acetobacterales; Acetobacteraceae
Description: bacterial SSU rRNA
Rfam family: Bacterial small subunit ribosomal RNA
Source: RNAcentral